Molecule: ribosomal RNA, 1026 nt
Filed under: Diplodia sapinea
Lineage: Eukaryota; Fungi; Ascomycota; Dothideomycetes; Botryosphaeriales; Botryosphaeriaceae
Also listed under: 8 other names
Description: SSU rRNA
Rfam family: Eukaryotic small subunit ribosomal RNA
Source: RNAcentral
AUCUAUACUGUGAAACUGCGAAUGGCUCAUUAAAUCAGUUAUCGUUUAUUUGAUAGUACCUUACUACUUGGAUAACCGUGGUAAUUCUAGAGCUAAUACAUGCUAAAAACCCCGACUUCGGAAGGGGUGUAUUUAUUAGAUAAAAAACCAAUGCCCUUCGGGGCUCCUUGGUGAAUCAUGAUAACUUAACGAAUCGCAUGGCCUUGCGCCGGCGAUGGUUCAUUCAAAUUUCUGCCCUAUCAACUUUCGAUGGUAGGAUAGUGGCCUACCAUGGUAUCAACGGGUAACGGGGAAUUAGGGUUCUAUUCCGGAGAGGGAGCCUGAGAAACGGCUACCACAUCCAAGGAAGGCAGCAGGCGCGCAAAUUACCCAAUCCCGACACGGGGAGGUAGUGACAAUAAAUACUGAUACAGGGCUCUUUUGGGUCUUGUAAUUGGAAUGAGUACAAUUUAAAUACCUUAACGAGGAACAAUUGGAGGGCAAGUCUGGUGCCAGCAGCCGCGGUAAUUCCAGCUCCAAUAGCGUAUAUUAAAGUUGUUGCAGUUAAAAAGCUCGUAGUUGAACCUUGGGCCUGGCUGGCCGGUCUGCCUCACCGCAUGUACUGGUUCGGCCGGGCCUUUCCUCCUGGGGAUCCGCAUGCCCUUCACUGGGUGUGUUGGGGAACCAGGACUUUUACUUUGAAAAAAUUAGAGUGUUCAAAGCAGGCCUUUGCUCGAAUACAUUAGCAUGGAAUAAUAGAAUAGGACGUGCGGUCCUAUUUUGUUGGUUUCUAGGACCGCCGUAAUGAUUAAUAGGGAUAGUCGGGGGCAUCAGUAUUCAGUUGUCAGAGGUGAAAUUCUUGGAUUUACUGAAGACUAACUACUGCGAAAGCAUUUGCCAAGGAUGUUUUCAUUAAUCAGUGAACGAAAGUUAGGGGAUCGAAGACGAUCAGAUACCGUCGUAGUCUUAACCGUAAACUAUGCCGACUAGGGAUCGGGCGAUGUUAUUCUUUUGACUCGCUCGGCACCUUACGAGAAAUCAAAGUCU